Molecule: long non-coding RNA, 1356 nt
Organism: Stomoxys calcitrans (stable fly)
Lineage: Eukaryota; Metazoa; Arthropoda; Insecta; Diptera; Muscidae
Exons: 6
Source: RefSeq, a predicted model, not a curated record
ACAUAUGGAUACGAAUAUCAAAAUAAAAUGGAAUAUGAAAAAGGCUUGCUCUCGGCCUUUACUGUUACGUACAGAGCAAAGAGAGUCUGUUAAAAUAAUAAUUCACUUUACUUAUAACUAGAUAACAAAUACAACGAAAUAACAAUUUCUGUUAAAACCGUAACUAACAGAAUGAAAUGGACUAGCCCUUUAAUUAAUGGAAAUGUAAAUAUCACAGUUGCGUAUGUAUAUAUACAUGUGUGUAAAUAGCGUAUUCAUUAGCACGUUUUAUAUAUGGGUUGUAGUGUUAAGACGGUGGUUAAACGAAUUGAGCAAGCUCAUUAUAUUUUUCUUCUCUUCUCUCAUCCACGGUGUGAUCCUAUUAUUGUUUUCUUGAAAAAUUCAGGAGUGUCGAGGCGGGCUGAAGCGUUGUCAUUGUUUUCAUUUAUUAUUGCAACAGGAGAAAGGUCAUUCUCAUGUUCGGCUAACCCUUGAAUAAACUUUUCUUGAAGCUUGAAACCAUACGCACAUAGUGGUUCAAUGCCAGAUUUAUCAUAAAUGAUUUUCCUCUCAAAUAUUUCCAACUCCUUUGCCACAGUAGGGGAAAUUGUGAACCAGAUUUGGAAACCAUAGGCGAGUACCGGUCUUAUAGCCACCUUAUACAACAGUAACUUUGUAGACUGAGAACUUCUCUGGCAUGCAAGUUGAACUUCAACAUCUUGUCAAAUGUCACUCCGAGGUAUUUUAUUCUGGACUCAACAGGAAUCGUGACACUAUUAAGGGGUUCGUGAAAUGGAAAUUAUCAUGAUUAUGCAACGCAUUGAACUCAUCACUAAAUGUAUAAAUAUGGAGAGGAGUAACAUUUAUACAAUUAUCUAUUCUCAGCUGCAAAUCAGCAACUGGAUUAUGAGGUAGUCUUUGGCGAAAUGUCUCUGAGUAGAAUUCUUGGAAGUGGCGUGUGAUAUCGGAACUAUUGGUGAGUAUGUUGUCGUUCUGGAUGAUUUGUUGGCAGAACGGUGAUUUAACUUUACCAGUUAUUUGAUAGAUUUGUUUAAAAGCGGAUGGACCAGGUUUAAUAUUCUGCAACCUUUUAUUGAAAUGAUUCGCUUGCUCAAUGUUGACUGAUUCUUUGAUAAUAAUUUUUAUCAGUUGUAUCUGCUUAGACAAUACAGUAUAUUCACUACUUAUUCGGUUUCCCGUGCGGUGGAAUAUUUUUUUAAGCUCUUUCUGCCAACGCUGUUUAAUUUUAUAUAAUUUCCUUGUUUUAUCCGAAAGGGGGAAUUUAUUUUCUUGAAAAGUACUUUGCUUUGAGUGGGCAUUAUGAAUAGAGUGAAAAGAUGUUUUGAAAUCAUUUAUCAAAAUAUCGAUUUCGUCAUU